GUGAAUUAAAAUUAAAGUGGUAGUUUGACACACCCACAGCUGAGCCUUGCCAAGUAGGAGCUUACACCGUGUGUGUUCGUCAGUCCUUCGUCAGUGUAAUUCAUCACUUCUCCUGUCAAUAGCAGGUAAGAACAGGAACAUUGCUCCAUGAGGAAAUAUUGCCACACAAUGAUGAUUUUCACGCAACAUCGCUACUUAAAUUUAGAAAGUGCACUCUGUAACUUUCUUCCUUAAAUCCUUAUUUAUAUUUUCUGCUGUUUCAGAAACUUUGACGGCAGCUGCACAUUUGGCCAUGAGUGGUGUCACAAGUGCCAAAGGCUCAUUCAUGAUUUUGACUCUGCUGUGUCUGGUCCAUUUUUCAAGUUCAGUGAUAAACACGGACCAACUGGAGGAGCUGAAAGCAAACAUUCAAAAACUACAACAAGAAACAAUGAGAAGGAAGGUGAGUCUGUCAAUAUCAAUGUUGAGAACAUCUAUAACUGCUAACAUAAAAACUCCCAUCAUAUCAAAGUCUUUUUGUUAUGUAUUCACUACAUCACUUAUAUUAAGUGGGUUUACUUUUUGUCCUCCAGGCUGAAAAUAUUUUAGACAGAACCUACGUUCCAGCUAUCUUUGAUGAUAUUGGACGCUUCAUGGAUCCUUUGUCCGAACUUCUGAAGUCAGUGAAAGGUUCUACAUUGGUACUUACACCAGUGCUGGAUUUAAUGAAUGACCUAAAGACUUUCCUGGAAGCCAGCAAGAAGUACAUAAAUAAAUACCUUGAAACAAAAGCUGCAGAAAUCAAGGACAAUGAAGAGAAACUAAGCAGUGUGAUGGCAAUAUUAACACAUCUAGAAAAGCAUAAAGAAGAAUUGUAACAUAUUAGUGUUCUUCUCUGGUAUUAAAUGUUCUGUAUUUGUAAAACUUCUCUUUCAUACUGUGCAGAGUUAGAGCCAAGAAAUAAUUUUGUCAUAUUUUCUUUUCAUUGUCUUUGUUAUAAUUGAGUUCAAAUGCAAAGACGAAACACAUAACUGAGAUUAUAUCUAAGUAACCUUAUUAACACUGACAGCUGUUAAUGAUUUAAAUGAUAAAAGCCUUUUAAUGUGAAUAAAGACAUUAAAGACAUGUUAUUAUUUAAUGUUUUUGCAAAUUGUGAUGUUCGUGAGAAAAGACAGAAGCUGUGGCUGAUCGUUCUCUAGUGUUUGUUCACUGCCCAAAAUGUAAACUCCUUAAGCUACAAAAUGCAGAACACCCAUCAGGUGAUCCUCUGAUGUAGGCCGUCUGUGUGUGCAUGUGUGUGUGUACUGUUAUUCCACACUACUGACUAGAUGUUUUAUACUGGUGUUAAAGGGAGAGUUUAGUUCUACACUCAAUCACAUUAAAGACCACAAGAAACAACACAUCUUAUUUGACUUGUAAAUCAUCAGUGAUGCCCUGGAAAAGAGAUUGAGCAAAAUUCAU
Molecule: long non-coding RNA, 1440 nt
Filed under: Oreochromis niloticus (Nile tilapia)
Lineage: Eukaryota; Metazoa; Chordata; Actinopteri; Cichliformes; Cichlidae
Description: lncRNA (ENSONIG00000032891.1)
Source: RNAcentral